This 1346-nucleotide long non-coding RNA is filed under the name Heterocephalus glaber (naked mole-rat). RNAcentral's name for it is "lncRNA (ENSHGLG00000038466.1)". Lineage: Eukaryota; Metazoa; Chordata; Mammalia; Rodentia; Bathyergidae. The record is from RNAcentral.
UGUCAGCAGUGACAAAGGUCAAGAGCUAGGGUUAUUGCAAUUCAGAAGGCACGGGGUCAGAUCCCAGCCUUGCCACUUGGCUAGCUAAAUUACAUGCCUUGUUUAACUUAUCUGUAAAAGAAAGCAAAGGCUGUCUCUGGGUUAUUUGGAGAACCAGAAGAAAUGAUGCAGCUUGGUACAGCGAGGCAGGCUGGAGAGUGAGGGAAAUGUGGCUCCAGUUCAAAUCAACGAGAGGCUCCACCUGCAGGUAUACCGGGUCGUGCUGCCAGGCUGGAGGAAGAGAAGGCUAUGGUGGUAGUGGCAGAAGUGAAAUCUGCUGUACAACAGGAAGUGACCUCACCCAGGAAGGCUGCGGCAGAGGGUUCCACAAGUAUGUUCCAAAUGAACACCUGCUCCCCGGGUAUUACCUGAGCAGCCUGUGCUGAGACAAAGCAGAGUUUAUGGCUCAGUGCUGCAAGAAAAUAUGAGAAUCUUAGUUGCCUUUGAGAACAUGCCUGGGGCUGGGGUUGUUGCCAGUGAUAGAGUACUUGGAUAGCAUGCAUGAGGGCCCAGGUUCCUUCCCAGCAAUGCAAAAUAACUAAAAAUCUGAUUUAAAGUGGACCUUUCAGUGUGGGAUGGGAAAACAGGGCUUGAUUAAAAUUGGAUCAGGACCAUGACAUCAUACUUUACGAUUGGGUGCACACUUAUAAUCCCAGCACUCAGAAAGCUGAGGCAGGAGGAUCACUUCAAGUUUGAGGCCAGCCUGAACUACAUAGUGAGACCUUGUCUCAAAAAAAAAACCCAAGGUUUUUCAGUGGUGCCAUGCUUGCCUGGCAAGCACAAGAUCCUGAGUUCAAUUCAAUUCCCAGUGCCAAAAAAAAAAAAAACCUUUUAUGGGCUGGGGAUUUAGCUCAGUGGUUCUGCCACCUGCCUCAAGAGCAUAAGGUUCCGAGUUUGAUCCCCAAUACCAAAAAAAACACAACAAACCAAACUUUUGAAUUGGUGGGCACUGUAAGGCUAGAAUUUUCAGGCAUGUGGUAUAAAGCAUCUUAGACUAACUCGUCAUUGAAUGGAGACGGAGACAUUGGCGAAGGAAGGCACUUACCUUUAGAAGGAGCAGGAAGGAUAUUUGUAAUUUAUCUUCUAAGAGUUUCUUAGAGUAAUAAGUUCAUAAGAUGAAGAAAGCAAGCUGUGUACAGUUUCCAAUUUCUUAGGUUUCCUCUCUCCUUUUGGGCAGGGGCUCCUCUAUUUUACAAGCGAGCUUGGGUGGAGAAGUGAGGCCUUAAUGGAGUCCCAGGGGACCCUUCCUUGCUGGGGAUUAGCGGGUGGGGGGCUUCUGCAGAGGCUCUGAGAGCGGACAGGAAGGG